CUCAACAACAGAUGUCUCGGCUCUCGCAUCGAUGAAGAACGUAGUGAAAUGCGAUACUUGGUGUGAAUUGCAGAAUCCCGUGAACCAUCGAGCUUUUAAAUGCAAGUUGCGCACGAAGCCUUCUGGCCAAGGGCACGUCUUCCUGGGCAUCACG
This 154-nucleotide ribosomal RNA is filed under the name Begonia formosana. Its description in RNAcentral is "5.8S ribosomal RNA". It matches the Rfam family "5.8S ribosomal RNA". Rfam says of the family: 5.8S ribosomal RNA (5.8S rRNA) is a component of the large subunit of the eukaryotic ribosome. Lineage: Eukaryota; Viridiplantae; Streptophyta; Magnoliopsida; Cucurbitales; Begoniaceae. The record is from RNAcentral.